GAAAUGCGAUAAUUAAUGUGAAUUGCAGAAUUCAGUGAAUCAUCGAGUCUUUGAACGCACAUUGCGCCCCCUGGUAUUCCGGGGGGCAUGCCUGUCCGAGCGUCAUUGCUGCCCUCAAGCACGGCUUGUGUGUUGGGCUUCCGUCCCUGGCAACGGGGACGGGCCCAAAAGGCAGUGGCGGCACCAUGUCUGGUCCUCGAGCGUAUGGGGCUUUGUCACCCGCUCCCGUAGGUCCAGCUGGCAGCUAGCCUCGCAACCAAUCUUUUUAACCAGGUUGACCUCGGAUCAGGUAGGGAUAUCCGCUGAACUUAAGC
Molecule: unclassified non-coding RNA, 314 nt
Filed under: plant metagenome
Description: partial contains 5.8S ribosomal RNA, internal transcribed spacer 2, and large subunit ribosomal RNA
Rfam family: 5.8S ribosomal RNA (bases 1-105)
Source: RNAcentral